CAGUCGCCGCGGUAAUACGAAGGGUGCAAGCGUUACUCGGAAUUACUGGGCGUAAAGCGUGCGUAGGUGGUGGUUUAAGUCCGUUGUGAAAGCCCUGGGCUCAACCUGGGAAUUGCAGUGGAUACUGGGUCACUAGAGUGUGGUAGAGGAUAGUGGAAUUUCCGGUGUAGCAGUGAAAUGCGUAAAGAUCGGAAGGAACAUCUGUGGCGAAGGCGACUAUCUGGGCCAACACUGACACUGAGGCACGAAAGCGUGGGGAGCAAACAGGAUUAGAUACCCCGGUAGUCCCUGUCUCUUAUAC
Molecule: ribosomal RNA, 301 nt
Filed under: uncultured bacterium
Lineage: Bacteria
Description: partial 16S ribosomal RNA
Rfam family: Bacterial small subunit ribosomal RNA
Source: RNAcentral